UUGGCCCAGAUCGUUUACCGUGAAAAAAUUAGAGUGUUCAAAGCAGGCAGAUCCAAUUUUCUGCCACCGAAUACAUUAGCAUGGGAUAAUGGAAUAGGACCCUGUCCUCCUAUUUUCAGUUGGUUUUGGCAGCGCGAGGACUAGGGUAAUGAUUAAUAGGGAUAGUUGGGGGCAUUAAUAUUUAAUUGUCAGAGGUGAAAUUCUUGGAUUUAUGAAAGAUUAACUUCUGCGAAAGCAUCUGCCAAGGAUGUUUUCAUUAAUCAAGAACGAAAGUUAGGGGAUCGAAGACGAUCAGAUACCGUCGUAGUCUUAACCAUAAACGAUGCCGACCAGCGAUUAGGAGACGUUGAAUACAAAACACCACCAUCGGUUGCGGUCGUCCUUGGCGUCUCGGUUCGGCCGGGCGCGGGACGUUAGCCCGGACCCGAGCC
Molecule: ribosomal RNA, 431 nt
Filed under: Acanthamoeba sp. MA38
Lineage: Eukaryota; Discosea; Longamoebia; Acanthamoebidae
Description: SSU rRNA
Rfam family: Eukaryotic small subunit ribosomal RNA
Source: RNAcentral